GACGAACGCUGGCGGCGUGCUUAACACAUGCAAGUCGAACGGAAAGGCCCUGCUUUUGUGGGGUGCUCGAGUGGCGAACGGGUGAGUAACACGUGAGUAACCUGCCCUUGACUUUGGGAUAACUUCAGGAAACUGGGGCUAAUACCGGAUAGGAGCUCCUGCUGCAUGGUGGGGGUUGGAAAGUUUCGGCGGUUGGGGAUGGACUCGCGGCUUAUCAGCUUGUUGGUGGGGUAGUGGCUUACCAAGGCUUUGACGGGUAGCCGGCCUGAGAGGGUGACCGGCCACAUUGGGACUGAGAUACGGCCCAGACUCCUACGGGAGGCAGCAGAGGGGAAUAUUGCACAAUGGGCGGAAGCCUGAUGCAGCAACGCCGCGUGCGGGAUGACGGCCUUCGGGUUGGAAACCGCUUUCGCCUGUGACGAGGCGUGAGUGACGGUAAUGGGUAAAGAAGCACCGGCUAACUACGUG
Molecule: ribosomal RNA, 468 nt
Filed under: uncultured bacterium
Lineage: Bacteria
Description: partial 16S ribosomal RNA
Rfam family: Bacterial small subunit ribosomal RNA
Source: RNAcentral